GACGAACGCUGGCGGCGUGCUUAACACAUGCAAGUCGAACGGAAAGGCCCUGCUUUUGUGGGGUGCUCGAGUGGCGAACGGGUGAGUAACACGUGAGUAACCUGCCCUUGACUUUGGGAUAACUUCAGGAAACUGGGGCUAAUACCGGAUAGGAGCUCCUGCUGCAUGGUGGGGGUUGGAAAGUUUCGGCGGUUGGGGAUGGACUCGCGGCUUAUCAGCUUGUUGGUGGGGUAGUGGCUUACCAAGGCUUUGACGGGUAGCCGGCCUGAGAGGGUGACCGCCCACAUUGGGACUGAGAUACGGCCCAGACUCCUACGGGAGGCAGCAGUGGGGAAUAUUGCACAAUAGGCGGAAGCCUGAUGCAGCAACGCCGCGUGCGGGAUGACGGCCUUCGGGUUGUAAACCGCUUUCGCCUGUGACGAAGCGUGAGUGACGGUAAUGGGUAAAGAAGCACCGGCUAACUACGUG
RNAcentral lists this ribosomal RNA (468 nucleotides) under uncultured bacterium. RNAcentral describes it as "partial 16S ribosomal RNA". It matches the Rfam family "Bacterial small subunit ribosomal RNA", at positions 28 to 507 of the family's 1533-position model. The record is from RNAcentral.